This 329-nucleotide unclassified non-coding RNA is filed under the name soil metagenome. RNAcentral's name for it is "partial contains 5.8S ribosomal RNA, internal transcribed spacer 2, and large subunit ribosomal RNA". The stretch from base 1 to 120 matches the Rfam family "5.8S ribosomal RNA", at positions 35 to 154 of the family's 154-position model. The record is from RNAcentral.
GAUGAAGAACGCAGCGAAAUGCGAUAAGUAAUGUGAAUUGCAGAAUUCAGUGAAUCAUCGAAUCUUUGAACGCACAUUGCGCCCUCUGGUAUUCCGGGGGGCAUGCCUGUUCGAGCGUCAUUAUAACCACUCAAGCUCUCGCUUGGUAUUGGGGUUCGCGGUUCCGCGGCCCCUAAAAUCAGUGGCGGUGCCUGUCGGCUCUACGCGUAGUAAUACUCCUCGCGAUUGAGUCCGGUAGGUCUACUUGCCAGUAACCCCCAAUUUUUACAGGUUGACCUCGGAUCAGGUAGGGAUACCCGCUGAACUUAAGCAUAUCAAUAAGCGGAGGA